RNAcentral lists this long non-coding RNA (413 nucleotides) under Mytilus galloprovincialis (Mediterranean mussel). The record is from RNAcentral. Lineage: Eukaryota; Metazoa; Mollusca; Bivalvia; Mytilida; Mytilidae.
UUGUAGAUAUUUUCCCAAGGUUUUCACCACUACAAGGACAAAUCCUGGGUAAAAGAAAUGCACUAUCCUAUCUUGGAAAGAGUAAGAGAUUUUAUGAUUAUGGAAGUUCGUACCAAGGAAUAGUGUGUGAAUGUUGCUACAAUCAUUGCAGUCUAGAUGAGCUUUCUCAAUACUGUCUCUUCGACAAGAAAGAUUCAUAACAACAGCAGACUACAACAUCGAAAAUGUACUGAGAGGUAUUCGUUAUCUACAUAAGAAGACAGAAGUGUUAGUAAAACCAGAAUAUUGUCCUUGUACCAACUUUUGUAUAAUUGAUUUAUCUCGAGAUAUUUAAGUGUAUUAUGUGAUGGUAACUAUAGUACAUGUUGUAUGAACGCAAUUGUGCACCUUACACAAAAGACACACUAAACGAA